AGUCGAUCGCUUUGUGGUUCAACUGAUUUGAAGAGCUUGCUCAGAUAUGACGAUGGACAUUGCAAAGAGUGGCGAACGGGUGAGUAACACGUGGGAAACCUACCUCUUAGCAGGGGAUAACAUUUGGAAACAGAUGCUAAUACCGUAUAACAAUAGCAACCGCAUGGUUGCUACUUAAAAGAUGGUUCUGCUAUCACUAAGAGAUGGUCCCGCGGUGCAUUAGUUAGUUGGUGAGGUAAUGGCUCACCAAGACGAUGAUGCAUAGCCGAGUUGAGAGACUGAUCGGCCACAAUGGGACUGAGACACGGCCCAUACUCCUACGGGAGGCAGCAGUAGGGAAUCUUCCACAAUGGGCGAAAGCCUGAUGGAGCAACGCCGCGUGUGUGAUGAAGGGUUUCGGCUCGUAAAACACUGUUGUAAGAGAAGAAUGACAUUGAGAGUAACUGUUCAAUGUGUGACGGUAUCUUACCAGAAAGGAACGGCUAAAUACGUGCCAGCAGCCGCAGUAAUACGUAUGUUCCAAGCGUUGUCCGGAUUUAUUGGGCGUAAAGCGAGCGCAGACGGUUAUUUAAGUCUCAAGUGGAAGCCCUCAGCUCAACUGAGGAAUUGCUUUGGAAAGUGGAUGACUUGAGUGCACUAGAGGAAAGUGGAACUCCGUGUGUAGCGGUGAGAUGCGUAGAUAUGUGUGAGAACACCAUUGGCGAGCGCCGCUUUCUGUACUGUAACUGACCGUCCACUCCUCGCCAGUGGUUGUUCGC
This 758-nucleotide ribosomal RNA is filed under the name Weissella cibaria. Its description in RNAcentral is "bacterial SSU rRNA". It matches the Rfam family "Bacterial small subunit ribosomal RNA", at positions 60 to 770 of the family's 1533-position model. The record is from RNAcentral. Lineage: Bacteria; Bacillati; Bacillota; Bacilli; Lactobacillales; Lactobacillaceae.